GGAAGUAAAAGUCGUAACAAGGUCUCCGUUGGUGAACCAGCGGAGGGAUCAUUACAGAGUUACACAACUCACCAAACCAUUGUGAACCGACCCUUCUGUUGCUUCGGCGGGAGGCGCCUCGGCGCCCCUCGGCCGAUCCCCCGCCCCCGCGGCGUGGGGGGAGGCUCCCGCCGGAGGAAUACCCCAAACCCUUUGCAGCACAUGGCCUCUCUGAGUUUAUGUACUGAAUAAGUCAAAACUUUCAACAACGGAUCUCUUGGUUCUGGCAUCGAUGGAGAACGCAGCGAAAUGCGAUAAGUAAUGUGAAUUGCAGAAUUCAGUGAAUCAUCGAAUCUUUGAACGCACAUUGCGCCCGCCGGUAUUCCGGCGGGCAUGCCUGUUCGAGCGUCAUUUCAACCAUCAAGCCCUGGGCUUGUGUUGGGGACCUGCGGCUGCCGCAGGCCCUGAAAUGCAGUGGCGGGCUCGCAAGACACACCGAGCGUAGUAGCUUACAACCUCGCUUUGGGAGUGCUGCGGGUGCUGGCCGUAAAGCGACCUUUGCGUCUUUAGCACUAGGUUGACCUCGGAUCAGGUAGGAGGACCCGCUGAACUUAAGCAUAUUAGUCAGCGGAGGA
This 614-nucleotide ribosomal RNA is filed under the name uncultured Scytalidium. Its description in RNAcentral is "eukaryotic LSU rRNA". The stretch from base 237 to 390 matches the Rfam family "5.8S ribosomal RNA". Lineage: Eukaryota; Fungi; Ascomycota. The record is from RNAcentral.